RNAcentral lists this ribosomal RNA (481 nucleotides) under uncultured bacterium. Its description in RNAcentral is "partial 16S ribosomal RNA". It matches the Rfam family "Bacterial small subunit ribosomal RNA", at positions 28 to 507 of the family's 1533-position model. The record is from RNAcentral.
GAUGAACGCUGGCGGCGUGCUUAACACAUGCAAGUCGAACGAAGCACUGUAUUUGAUUUCCUUCUGGACUUAUUAUUUUGUGACUGAGUGGCGGACGGGUGAGUAACGCGUGGGUAACCUGCCUUGUACAGGGGGAGGACAGUUGGAAACGGCUGCUAAUACCGCAUAAGCUCACGUCAUCGCAUGAUGCAGUGUGAAAAACUCCGGUGGUAUAAGAUGGACCCGCGUUGGUUUAGCUAGUUGGGGAGGUAACGGCCCACCAAGGCGACGAUCCAUAGCCGAACUGAGAGGGUGACCGGACACAUUGGGACUGAGACACGGCCCAAACUCCUACGGGAGGCAGCAGUGGGGAAUAUUGCACAAUGGGCGAAAGCCUGAUGCAGCGACGCCGCGUGAGCGAAGAAGUAUUUCGGUAUGUAAAGCUCUAUCAGCAGGGAAGAUAAUGACGGUACCUGACUAAGAAGCACCGGCUAAAUACGUG